This 84-nucleotide non-coding RNA is filed under the name Pseudomonas palmensis. The record is from RNAcentral. Lineage: Bacteria; Pseudomonadati; Pseudomonadota; Gammaproteobacteria; Pseudomonadales; Pseudomonadaceae.
UUUAUGGUGGCUGUACGUGGGGCACAUCAACGUGCGCCGAGUUUCAAUGCUCUCGGUCUGUCAACCCAAGUACAGCUGCCACCU